AUGUCCAUCCAUCGGGUUGUCAAAAGAAAAAGAAAAACAUCCAUGCCCAUCUACGCAUAUCUCCACGUCGACGGCGCAGUUUACAGGGACCAACGCGGAUUAGCUGUUGCAGUGUGCCGUGAUGAAGCUGGAGACUAUCUUGGAAGCUCAGCAUUAGUUAUCGAGGACCAACAUGACCCGGCGACGCUAGAGGCUAUUGCUUGCAGAGAAGCAUUAGCCUUGGCUGAAGAUCUUCUUCUCCAAUGUUGUCUCCUUCGACUGCAAACAGGUGGUGAGCGACAUCCGCAAUGGAACUCAGGGCCGUUAUGGCUCGGUUAUCAAAGAAAUCAACCUUCGAGCUGCUAG
Molecule: ribosomal RNA, 345 nt
Filed under: Triticum aestivum (bread wheat)
Lineage: Eukaryota; Viridiplantae; Streptophyta; Magnoliopsida; Poales; Poaceae
Description: partial small subunit ribosomal RNA
Source: RNAcentral